UGUUUUGUCACAUUACGUAUACGAUCAGUGGACUGACAAACGGCUGGUUGGGUGGAUGUAGGGACUGCCUGAAAAAGACUGCGUGAGUGAGUGACUGAUUGACGUAUUGUCUGAUUGACAGCAGCAGAAGUUGAAUGGGAAGAGCAUAGGGAGGAGUACAAAGUAAGGAGUGAAUGAAUGAAUGAAUGAAUGAAAGAGCAAAUGAUUGGGCAAAUGAAUGUAAGUUCUCUCUCUUGGCAAUUUGCCGGAUUUUGUGAGGAAGGAGGAACACUGGGCUGGGCUGGGCGCGCAACAACCGGAAACAAACGACGUGACUUUUCACAGAAAUCUAUGCGAAAUGCUACCGAUAAUUAUGUACAUUUUUUCAUUCAUACAUAUAAUAAAUAAUAGUACAUACAAUACAAUACAUAAGUACAAUCCAUA
Molecule: long non-coding RNA, 423 nt
Organism: Drosophila obscura
Lineage: Eukaryota; Metazoa; Arthropoda; Insecta; Diptera; Drosophilidae
Exons: 2
Source: RefSeq, a predicted model, not a curated record